This is a long non-coding RNA of Limulus polyphemus (Atlantic horseshoe crab), 313 nucleotides long. RefSeq lists it as uncharacterized. NCBI's taxonomy places the organism in Eukaryota, Metazoa, Arthropoda, Merostomata, Xiphosura, Limulidae. The record is from RefSeq and is a predicted model, not a curated record. The transcript is spliced from 3 exons.
UGCCUAGGAUUUAAUUGUCCUGGCAUAUGACAUAGAAACAACCAAACUUCCCCUGAAGUUCCCUGACGUCAGCACUGACCAAAUCAUGAUGAUUUCGUAUAUGAUUGAUGGACAGGGUUAUCUAAUCAUAAACAGGGAUAUUGUUACAUCAGAUGUAGAAGACUUUGAAUACACACCAAAACCUGAAUUUGAGGGACCAUUUAUAAUUUUCAAUGAACCAAAUGAGAUGGCGCUCUUGCAACGUUUUUUUGAUCAUAUUGUGGAAGUAAAACCAAUGGUGUUUGUGACUUAUAAUGGUGAUUCUUUUGAUUGG